Molecule: ribosomal RNA, 468 nt
Filed under: uncultured bacterium
Lineage: Bacteria
Description: partial 16S ribosomal RNA
Rfam family: Bacterial small subunit ribosomal RNA
Source: RNAcentral
GACGAACGCUGGCGGCGUGCUUAACACAUGCAAGUCGAACGGAAAGGCCCUGCUUUUGUGGGGUGCUCGAGUGGCGAACGGGUGAGUAACACGUGAGUAACCUGCCCUUGACUUUGUGAUAACUUCAGGAAACUGGGGCUAAUACCGGAUAGGAGCUCCUGCUGCAUGGUGGGGGUUGGAAAGUUUCGGCGGUUGGGGAUGGACUCGCGGCUUAUCAGCUUGUUGGUGGGGUAGUGGCUUACCAAGGCUUUGACGGGUAGCCGGCCUGAGAGGGUGGACGGCCACAAUGGGACUACGGUACGGCCCAGACGCCUACGGGGGGCAGCAGUGGAGAAUAUGACACAAUGGGCGGAAGCCUGAGGCAGCAGCGCCGCGUGCGGGAUGACGGCCUUCGGGUGGUAAACCGCUUUCGCCUGUGACGAAGCGGGAGUGACGGUAAUGGGUAAAGAAGCACCGGCUAACUACGUG